This 867-nucleotide ribosomal RNA is filed under the name Dactylellina cionopaga. Its description in RNAcentral is "LSU rRNA". It matches the Rfam family "Eukaryotic large subunit ribosomal RNA", at positions 64 to 952 of the family's 3401-position model. Lineage: Eukaryota; Fungi; Ascomycota; Orbiliomycetes; Orbiliales; Orbiliaceae. The record is from RNAcentral.
ACCAACAGGGAUUGCCUCAGUAACGGCGAGUGAAGCGGCAACAGCUCAAAUUUGAAAUCUGGAGCCUUCGGCUUCCGAGUUGUAAUUUGAAGAGGAUGUUUCGGUCGUGGCUUGGGCCUAAGUUCCUUGGAACAGGACGUCGUGGAGGGUGAGAAUCCCGUACAUGGCUGCCGGCUUGCGAUCAUGUGAAACUCCUUCGAAGAGUCGAGUUGUUUGGGAAUGCAGCUCAAAAUGGGUGGUAAAUUUCAUCUAAAGCUAAAUAUUGGCGGGAGACCGAUAGCGCACAAGUAGAGUGAUCGAAAGAUGAAAAGCACUUUGAAAAGAGAGUUAAACAGUACGUGAAAUUGUUGAAAGGGAAGCGCUUGCAAUCAGACUCGCUUGCGGUUGAUCAACGUUCCUUCUGGUGCGUGCACUCUGCCGUUGGCGGGCCAGCAUCGGUUGGGGCGGCGGGACAAAGGCGGCAGGAAUGUGGCUCCCCCGGGAGUGUUAUAGCCUGCUGUGUAAUGCCGCCAGCCCCGACCGAGGUCCGCGGUUUUCCUAGGAUGCUGGCUUAAUGGUUGUAAGCGACCCGUCUUGAAACACGGACCAAGGAGUCUAACAUCUAUGCGAGUCUUUGGGUGUCAAACCCAUGGGCGUAAUGAAAGUGAACGGAGGUGGGAGUCCUCGGAUGCACCAUCGACCGAUCCUGAUGUUCUCGGAUGGAUUUGAGUAGGAGCAUAGCUGUUGGGACCCGAAAGAUGGUGAACUAUGCCUGAAUAGGGUGAAGCCAGAGGAAACUCUGGUGGAGGCUCGCAGCGGUUCUGACGUGCAAAUCGAUCGUCAAAUUUGGGUAUAGGGGCGAAAGACUAAUCGAACCAUCUAGUAGCU